GAUGAACGCUGGCGGCGUGCCUAAUACAUGCAAGUCGAGCGAACAGACGAGGAGCUUGCUCCUCUGACGUUAGCGGCGGACGGGUGAGUAACACGUGGAUAACCUACCUAUAAGACUGGGAUAACUUCGGGAAACCGGAGCUAAUACCGGAUAAUAUAUUGAACCGCAUGGUUCAAUAGUGAAAGACGGUUUUGCUGUCACUUAUAGAUGGAUCCGCGCCGCAUUAGCUAGUUGGUAAGGUAACGGCUUACCAAGGCGACGAUGCGUAGCCGACCUGAGAGGGUGAUCGGCCACCCUGGAACUUAGACACGGUCCCGACCCCUACGGGAGGCAGCAGUAGGGAAUCUUCCGCAAUGGGCGAAAGCCUGACGGAGCAACGCCGCGUGAGUGAUGAAGGUCUUCGGAUCGUAAAACUCUGUUAUUAGGGAAGAACAAAUGUGUAAGUAACUAUGCACGUCUUGACGGUACCUAAUCAGAAAGCCACGGCUAACUACGUG
RNAcentral lists this ribosomal RNA (497 nucleotides) under uncultured bacterium. RNAcentral's name for it is "partial 16S ribosomal RNA". It matches the Rfam family "Bacterial small subunit ribosomal RNA", at positions 28 to 507 of the family's 1533-position model. The record is from RNAcentral.